This 397-nucleotide ribosomal RNA is filed under the name uncultured bacterium. Its description in RNAcentral is "partial 16S ribosomal RNA". It matches the Rfam family "Bacterial small subunit ribosomal RNA", at positions 523 to 917 of the family's 1533-position model. The record is from RNAcentral.
AUACGUAGGGUGCGAGCGUUGUCCGGAAUUACUGGGCGUAAAGAGCUCGUAGGUGGUUUGUCGCGUCGUCUGUGAAAUUCCGGGGCUUAACUCCGGGCGUGCAGGCGAUACGGGCAUAACUUGAGUACUGUAGGGGAGACUGGAAUUCCUGGUGUAGCGGUGAAAUGCGCAGAUAUCAGGAGGAACACCGGUGGCGAAGGCGGGUCUCUGGGCAGUAACUGACGCUGAGGAGCGAAAGCAUGGGUAGCGAACAGGAUUAGAUACCCUGGUAGUCCAUGCCGUAAACGGUGGGCGCUAGGUGUAGGGGUCUUCCACGACUUCUGUGCCGUAGCUAACGCAUUAAGCGCCCCGCCUGGGGAGUACGGCCGCAAGGCUAAAACUCAAAGGAAUUGGCGGG